CCACAGGACAUAAUACUGGCCCC
RNAcentral lists this microRNA (23 nucleotides) under Ananas comosus (pineapple). RNAcentral's name for it is "microRNA s1035_c130a". The record is from RNAcentral. Lineage: Eukaryota; Viridiplantae; Streptophyta; Magnoliopsida; Poales; Bromeliaceae.